UACGGGAGGCAGCAGUGGGGAAUAUUGCACAAUGGGCGCAAGCCUGAUGCAGCCAUGCCGCGUGUAUGAAGAAGGCCUUCGGGUUGUAAAGUACUUUCAGUCGUGAGGAAGGUGUUAAGGUUAAUAACCUUAGCAAUUGACGUUAGCGACAGAAGAAGCACCGGCUAACUCCGUGCCAGCAGCCGCGGUAAUACGGAGGGUGCGAGCGUUAAUCGGAAUUACUGGGCGUAAAGGGCACGCAGGCGGUUAAUUAAGUUGGAUGUGAAUCCCCGGGCUUAACCUGGGAAUGGCAUUCAAGACUGGUUAGCUAGAGUCUUGUAGAGGGGGUAGAAUUCCAUGUGUAGCGGUGAAAUGCGUAGAGAUGUGGAGGAAUACCGGUGGCGAAGGCGGCCCCUGGACAAAGACUGACGCUCAUGUGCGAAAGCGUGGGGAGCGAAACAGGGAUUAGAUAC
Molecule: ribosomal RNA, 452 nt
Filed under: uncultured bacterium
Lineage: Bacteria
Description: bacterial SSU rRNA
Rfam family: Bacterial small subunit ribosomal RNA
Source: RNAcentral